This 71-nucleotide transfer RNA is filed under the name Nebria ingens riversi. Its description in RNAcentral is "tRNA-Val". It matches the Rfam family "tRNA". Rfam says of the family: Transfer RNA (tRNA) molecules are approximately 80 nucleotides in length. Their secondary structure includes four short double-helical elements and three loops (D, anti-codon, and T loops). Lineage: Eukaryota; Metazoa; Arthropoda; Insecta; Coleoptera; Carabidae. The record is from RNAcentral.
CAGAUUAAAGCUUAUUUAGUAAAGCAUUUAAUUUACAUUUAAAAGUUAUUGUGCAAAUCAAUUUAAUUUGA